Molecule: ribosomal RNA, 372 nt
Filed under: uncultured organism
Description: bacterial SSU rRNA
Rfam family: Bacterial small subunit ribosomal RNA
Source: RNAcentral
CAGAGGGUGCAAGCGUUGUUCGGAAUUAUUGGGCGUAAAGGGCGCGUAGGCGGUUCGGCAAGUCUCUAGUGAAAUCUCUGGGCUCAACUCAGAGUCUGCUGGGGAAACUGCCGGGCUCGAGUGUGGGAGAGGAGAGUGGAAUUCCCGGUGUAGCGGUGAAGUGCGUAGAUAUCGGGAGGAACACCUGUGGCGAAAGCGGCUCUCUGGACCACAACUGACGCUGAGGCGCGAAAGCUAGGGGAGCAAACAGGAUUAGAUACCCUGGUAGUCCUAGCCCUAAACGAUGAUUGCUUGGUGUGGUAGGUACCCAAUCCUACUGUGCCGAAGCUAACGCGAUAAGCAAUCCGCCUGGGGAGUACGGUCGCAAGGCUG